ACACAAUAAGAUGUUUUUGCAGACUCAAAUACACAAUGUCCAAUUAAUCAAUGUGAUUUUAUGGCAAAUUUAGGGAGGCACGCAGAAUCAUAUUCUUUAUUUUCACUGUUUUACAGCAGGGAGUAUUAUGGACUUAAUAAAAACAGAUGUAUGUACAAAAAUAAAGUGACAGAUCCCGUCUAAACCCGACUUCAGCUCCAUUUGGACUGGAUCUUUUUUAGAGGAGGUGGGCUAGUUUAACAAUACCUGGCCCACCCACCCAUACCUGCAGUAAUCACAGCAUAUACAUUUAUUCACAUAUUUUUAUUCUAAGUAUGCAGAAUUAGCUGCGAUCAUCUCCUGUCUGCA
Molecule: long non-coding RNA, 348 nt
Organism: Lates calcarifer (barramundi perch)
Lineage: Eukaryota; Metazoa; Chordata; Actinopteri; Centropomidae
Exons: 2
Source: RefSeq, a predicted model, not a curated record